Molecule: non-coding RNA, 81 nt
Organism: Phytophthora infestans T30-4
Lineage: Eukaryota; Oomycota; Peronosporomycetes; Peronosporales; Peronosporaceae
Source: the annotation of a RefSeq genome assembly
GGGCAGUUGGUCGAGCGGGCUAAGGUGCCCAGUUUAGGGCACUGGUACGACAGGGCGUGGGUUCGAAUCCCACAUUGGCCA